UGGGGAAUAUUGCACAAUGGGCGAAAGCCUGAUGCAGCAACGCCGCGUGAGUGAUGAAGGUCUUCGGAUUGUAAAGCUCUGUCUUUUGGGACGAUAAUGACGGUACCAAAGGAGGAAGCCACGGCUAACUACGUGCCAGCAGCCGCGGUAAUACGUAGGUGGCAAGCGUUGUCCGGAAUUACUGGGCGUAAAGGAUGUGUAGGCGGAUAUUUAAGUGAGAUGUGAAAUCCCCGAGCUCAACUUGGGGGCUGCAUUUCAAACUGGGUAUCUAGAGUGCAGGAGAGGAAAGCGGAAUUCCUAGUGUAGCGGUGAAAUGCGUAGAGAUUAGGAAGAACAUCAGUGGCGAAGGCGGCUUUCUGGACUGUAACUGACGCUGAGGCAUGAAAGCGUGGGGAGCAAACA
This 402-nucleotide ribosomal RNA is filed under the name bacterium. RNAcentral describes it as "partial 16S ribosomal RNA". It matches the Rfam family "Bacterial small subunit ribosomal RNA", at positions 355 to 774 of the family's 1533-position model. RNAcentral also lists the same sequence under 2 other names. The record is from RNAcentral.